RNAcentral lists this long non-coding RNA (1621 nucleotides) under Patiria miniata (bat star). Its description in RNAcentral is "uncharacterized LOC119727487, transcript variant X1". Lineage: Eukaryota; Metazoa; Echinodermata; Asteroidea; Valvatida; Asterinidae. The record is from RNAcentral.
UUUUUGGGAAGGACCCCGAACCUAUUUUAUCUACCGCAUUUACUGUACACACAUUCGCAAGUGCCCUCUAUCUAGUGAGGCCAAACCAGUGCAAUACACAUGCCACGCAAGUGUUAUUGAGUUUCCACCAGCCUGGCGAGUGCACUGCACUGCAAAAAGCCUGCGAAAUAAUCAUCUCUCACAAGGAUUUUGACUCCAGGAACAGAGGCCUCAUCGCUGACUAAGGACUCAGCAAGGAUUCAUCGUGGGCCAGGACCAGCGGAGUACUUGAAGUUGUCGAGCCUGGUGAGAAUGAGACGGCUCUUUUGAAAAUCAACCGCCAUGACCGCACCUUCAUUUUCAAGGCCUUCACCGCGCUCAAGUUUUACAUGCACAGGAAAACCAGUGAACUGAGAUUUGACUGGUCUUUACUUUCAAAACUCGAACUUAGUUGCUCCAUGAGUUGCUUGCGGUUCACUCCAUCUUCAAUCUCAUAUCUGCCAUGUAGCACUUCUUUGUGGGAGGCUGUAUCUGGACAGAUGCUGUGUACAUAGAUGGUACCUAUUGAUCUUCUGCCAUGGGAACCAAGGUGCAGACAGGCAGCUCAGGAUGUCUGUGAGGGAUGAGGCACCGUCCUGAGGUCAUCAACACAUCUUCUCUGGCUUCUCUCAGGAUGAUUGAGUGCUCCAAACUGAAGAGACUGACCUUUGCAAACCAUGCUGACGCUGGAUUGGACCAGACCAGUGCCUAGACUAUCCUGAAUGACUGCCUGCUGAGGCUUUUCCCUGGCGGCAUCGAAGCCAUCCACACCAUAACCCAUGAUGCCCUGGCCUGGAUGUCUACCUUGGCCUACACGCCAUAUGAAAGAAGUGCCUAGAUUAGGCAGGACAGGCUGGAUGAUCAUCACCAUGCUGACUGAGAUGACCUUAAGGGUGAGUCAAACCAAGAAUACAACCUGCUCCAUCAAAACUCAUCACAAUGUGCACCAAAGAACCUCAGAUUUCAUUUGUAAAUGAAAUUUUGUCCGCACAAGACCAUAAUUCUCGAACUUGAUUCUUGUGAAUAAGAUUGUUGUCCUCAACAUUCUGAUUGAAACAAACUUUGAUACUUUUCCCCAACAGCAUCCUGGACAGUAUAUUGUAAUUUGGAGAAGAAAGAGAAAUGAAAACAAUUUCUCAGCAACGAUCAUGACAAUCAUUUCUGAAAGACAGAGGAAUUGAAAUUCUCCCUCAAAAGAAUUAUGUGUGAUUUGAUUUAUAUAAACAUAAGAAGAAAUUUCAUUUGUGUGGACUGUCAAAGACAAAUGCAAUAAAAUUGAAUUAUUUGCAUUAAGUGUCCAGUGACUUUCCUAAUUGUUUGCAAGCAGAUAAAACUGUCACAUUGCAAUUGUACAUUCAAGUUCUCUUUUGCUGCCAACCUCUUACAGUACAGUGCACAUGUUCUUAACUUGAUGGAGCAGGUUUUGCAUAUCAUAGGAGAGAUCUGAGUGAAAAACAACUAUUAAUUGAAGAGUUCUUCUCCAAACUAUUUAAAGGCAUAUAGGAUCAUUUGUAGUUGCCCCAAAAUUAACCUCCCAUACUAUUAUACAAAUGCUUACUUGGAUUAAAUUAAAGAUCGUACUGGUACUAAACACGCCAUGAAA